AUAAGAUAGUAAAAUAGUGCUCGUAUAAAAUCUCUUGAAAAAUUAUCCUAUUUAAAAAUGGAUUAGUAGGACAACAUCUACAGCUAAUAAUAUUUCUUAUAGCCAGACCCUUCUGAAAUUUACAGAAAACAUAACAUAAAGUGUCAAAGUUCAUAACCAAAUCAACCCCUGCAUUUUGAAAGAUGAGAAACUACAAUCAAUUAUCAUUAUGGAUACUAAUAAAGCACCAGCUAGGAGAGGAUGACCAGUGUUGAGAAUAGAAUCAACCACAAAUAUGAAUAUGGCAGCUUACACUCUCAAGUUAAAAACACGCAUACACACAAAAUCAUUACAAACUAUCAUCAUUCAUCAAGUCAUUAACUUUAGUCUUUAGAGUAGUUUGAAAUGAUAAAACUUGAAGACCAACUCUUUCAAUGAGUGGGGAUGUUGGCCUUCCCCUGCUCUCAGCAGAAUAUUACGAAUCAUGUCACUUGACUUGGAUUUUCAAUCAAGCUACUUGAUUCUGUAAAACUAACUAAAUUUGACGAUGAUUCUCCUCCAUCCUUAGUCACCGAGUCUACAGGAAAUAGCACAGGCCUGGGAGGCAAUUGUAGGCCUUCCAAAGGUCCUUCAAGCAUCUCUAUAACUUUCUUCAUUGGAGGACGAUCACAGGGUUGCAUCUGUAUGCAAUGUAAUCCUAUUAAAAUCAUUUUCCUAGCUAUUAUAUUUUCCUCCUCUGUUGUGUCUUCUAUUGCUAAUUUUCCACUAGAGAGUUGGCCAUGAACCCAAAACGGAUAGUAAACUUCACUUAAAUGUUCAGCAAAUGCAUUCACAUUCUUCCUUUUGUCUGCCAUUUCUAGCACCAACUUUCCGAAGCUAUAUACAUCUGCUUUGUACGAGACACGUCCAAUGUUUUUGUAU
RNAcentral lists this unclassified non-coding RNA (900 nucleotides) under Hevea brasiliensis (rubber tree). The record is from RNAcentral. Lineage: Eukaryota; Viridiplantae; Streptophyta; Magnoliopsida; Malpighiales; Euphorbiaceae.